RNAcentral lists this long non-coding RNA (240 nucleotides) under Solanum tuberosum (potato). RNAcentral's name for it is "long non-coding RNA (STUB_LNC009355)". Lineage: Eukaryota; Viridiplantae; Streptophyta; Magnoliopsida; Solanales; Solanaceae. The record is from RNAcentral.
GCUUAUAAUGGAAUUGAAGAUCAGAAUGUGGAAGGAGAAGAGCAGACGGUGAAAAAUUCAAAUAACAGGAUCGUAGAGGAAGAGGAAAAAACAGAGGAUGAAGUGCAGAUACUUUCUGAUGAACUGAUGGCUUAUGAGUCAUUGAUGAAGUUCUAUGAAAUACCGUAUGUUGACGGGCAAUCAGUGGCGGCGACGGUGAAUCCAGCGGCGGAGACCGCCGUGGGCGGUGGCUCGAUGGAG